Molecule: long non-coding RNA, 3304 nt
Filed under: Sus scrofa (pig)
Lineage: Eukaryota; Metazoa; Chordata; Mammalia; Artiodactyla; Suidae
Description: lncRNA (ENSSSCG00000055284.1)
Source: RNAcentral
ACCAAACAAAACUCCCUGUAUGAAUUUAGGAAAGAGUCAUCAGUAUAUUGAGUGCCUACUAAGUACCCAGUGCAGGAUCACAGCAUGGUGAAGUAGUAGAGGGAAUCUAGAUGGUGAACUUAAUUAAGUCUGCCACUUAAAGCUCUGAGAGAUCCUUCCCUGUGUGAGCCUGAAUCUUCCCAUCUGUAUAAUAAGGUGGUUAGAUAAAGUAAACUCUAAGGUUCCUUCCAGCUAAAAUAUCUUUGGAGAUUACAAUCACUAAAGUUCCUUACUCCUAAAGAGCUUAUUGCCCUGCCAGGGUGGUCAGGCUAACAAAGCUAAACAGUCUUAGAACUGCAAGAACAACAGAGUGCUAAUGUCACACUAGAUUCAGCAUAAUAACGGCAACUGCAUUGUUACUCUGUACGUGAUAGAUUUAGAGAGACUUCUUGGAAGGCCUUGUAGACUCUGGAAGGGUAGGAAGCUUCAGAUUAGAGGAGAGAAAGGAGCCUUGAUUGUAGAUAUUGGAAAUUGAAUGAAAGGAAAAACAAAGGAGAAGAACAUGGCCAUUUGUUGUCUUCCUAGUAUUGGGGUCCUUGCAGAAAAACAGUUGGUACAUUCAAAAGAAUUUAAUUGAAGAGAGUCUAACCAAAGAACGAUUUUCAAAGACUUGAUCAGUGUUAACAGAAACUAGAAAGGAAUGGUGAAGCAUGAAGAUGGUGAAUUCAUAGCACUCCUAGGCCUCAAGGGAAGAAAGAUGGGGAGCAUUGUUGCCAGACCCAAUGAGAGCAAUAGUCUGAAAGAUGGACUGCCUGACAAGAGCUCAGGUGGUAAAUGCUAAGCGGCCACUCUAAGAACUUAGGUAAGACAGCAAGAAAAUAGAGAAGUAAUUACCCUCAUCUUUCCUUGCCCUCAGGUCUCCAGCUAACACCUUCCACUUGGGCAAAACCCACACAGAACCCCAGGGUCAAGGUAGUCUGGGUGACGUGGUUCAUAGAGACCAGCUUCCCAGAACAGGGCAGAGAGAGUUGGGUGGGAGGAGACACAGCAAACAGAAUAACCAGCAUACAAAGUUAUCUAGGGAAGGAAAAGUCAUUGCUCUGAACUCUUUCUAAGAAAGUUUCCUUCUGUUCAAAUUCAGCAUCUACUCUAAGGCUUAGUCUCCUUAGCUGUGAAAUGACAGUAGUCAUGCCUCUGUGUCAGAGUGAUUGUGAGGAUUCUAUGAUAUGGCAAAUGAAAGUACCUGGCACAGGGCCUGAUAGAUGCUGGAGGCUCAGUAUAUCUCAGUUCCUUCCUUCCUGCACACGCCUAAAUGGCUCUUUGGCUGAAAUACUUUUCCAGUCAAAGUUUCAAAGUAUGGCUGAAACUGAAUAAAUGAAGGGGAGAAUGGUAGGAUAUGAAGUCAGAGCCCUGGACCCCAUCGUAAUGACUUUGACUUUUAAUAGGAGCAAGCUAGGAAAUCACUGGAAAGUUUUGCAGGAUUGUGUGACUUCUGGUAUCAGGGUUCCUGUUAUUCCCUAGGGCAUCACUUCAUUCAAGAAAACUCAUUUAGCACAUACCACGUACUGGGUACUAGGCACUGGAGAUGCAUUGAUAUAUACUCCCUACCCUCAAGGAUAAUGUGGUCUUUAAAAGGAGAUAGUUAACUUUAACUUAAAGUGUAAAUGUAAGUGAAUAUAGAAACUCAUAGUAAGGGAGCUCAUGGUAAGGAUAUCAUCUGUGGAGCCUCGGAAAAGGCUUUCUGAGCAAGAUGAUGUACAUUGACUCUUAUCCAAUAGAACUAAGCCAGGUCUGAAUUGAGGGAAAUGAAGUUCUAGGAAUUUGGAGUGGUAUGUGCACCUGGAGUUUAAAAAACAAAAAACAAAACAAACAAAAAAAAACUUGGUGAUGAGUUGGGAAUUGCAGGUAGCUUAUAUCACUGGACAGUUGGCUUUGAGUAGGAGGAUGGUGAGGGGUAAGACUAGAGGAGUUAGCAGAGGCCAGGUCAUGAAGAGGAAUUUAUCCUGAAGGCAAUGGUAGGUUUUUAAGCAAAAAGAUAACUCACUCUGGCAAGAUAAAGAAGAGGCUGUUGAGGUAGAGUUGUGGUGGAGGGUGGGAAGGUACAGAACUAGAGAAAUGAGGCUCAUGAUGGUGCCCUGAACUUGGGUGGAAGCUUGGGGGUAAAAGUAGCUGACUAUUCCAGGUUAACUCUUUAUUAAUGAGGAAGAAUCAUAGAACUUCAUGAUUAAUUUUAAGUGAGAAAACGAAAGAAAGCAUUGUCAGAGAUGAUUUGGAUUUCUGGCUUGGACAACUAGGUAAAUGGUUAUGACAAGUAACUAAUGUUCAAAGACAGGAAAUAUAAGAGAAAGCACAAAUUUUGGAUGUGUGGGAGGUGGAGAAUAGAGACAGUAAUUUCAGUUUUAUAAAUGUAGAUUUUUUAGCUAUAAAAUACACAUUAUAUAAAAUGUACCAUUUGAAAGUGUACAAUGCAGUGACAUUUAAGUAUAUUCACAAUGUUGUACAACCGUCAUUACUUUCUAGUUCCAGAACUUCUUCAUCACCCCAAAAGGAAACCCCAUCCCUAUUAGACAGUUACUUCUGAGUAUAUGUAGAAUUUGAGGCAGUUGUGUGACAUCCAGAUACUGACGUUAAGUAGAUAUUUGAAUAUGUGCUACUGAAGCUAAGGUUAAAAUUUAGGCUGAAGAUAAGUAUUUUUGAAUCAUUAGUAUGCAAGUAGGGGAGUUGCAGUCUGGGGCCUGUAGACUUACACGAGAAUUUCUGUCUUCAUUUGGAUGUAAAAUGUAUAUGUAUAAAUGUGUAUGUUUAUUUUUAUGAAAUGUCUGUAUCAUCAAUCAAAUUCCCAAAGGAAUUUCUUAACCUGAGCAAAGUUUAUUUUUAUAUGUAUACACACACACACUCAUAUUUAUAAAAUGAGGUCAUGAAGUCACAUGGCGGUUAAGAAAACUCCGAGAAAAUGAAUAGUGAGGAAAGAAGAAUGUGGAUGAAACCCUGUGCGUGUGUAAGAUACAGAGAGGCCCAAAGGGUGUUCCUUGAGUACAAGGAACAAAAUUCACGUCUGCCUCAAGAUAUAGGUAAAGGCUUUUAAAGGGCAAUGUUGGAGUUCCCGUUGUGGCAAGCAGAAACGAAUCCGACUAGGAACCACGAGAUUGUGGGUUUGAUCUCUGGCCUUGCUCAGGGGUUAAGGAUCCGGCGUCCUUGAGCUGUGAUAUUGCAGACGAGGCUCGGGUUUGAUGUUGCUGUGGCUGUGGAGUAGACCAGCAGCUGUAGCUCUGAUUCAACCCCUAGCCUGGGAAUCUCCAUGUGCCAAGGGUGCAGCCCUAAAAAG